AUUGAACGCUGGCGGCAGGCCUAACACAUGCAAGUCGGACGGUAGCACAGAGAGCUUGCUCUCGGGUGACGAGUGGCGGACGGGUGAGUAAUGUCUGGGGAUCUGCCCGAUAGAGGGGGAUAACCACUGGAAACGGUGGCUAAUACCGCGUAACGUCGCAAGACCAAAGAGGGGGACCUUCGGGCCUCUCACUAUCGGAUGAACCCAGAUGGGAUUAGCUAGUAGGCGGGGUAACGGCCCACCUAGGCGACGAGCCCUAGCUGGUCUGAGAGGAUGACCAGCCACACUGGAACUGAGACACGGUCCAGACUCCUACGGGAGGCAGCAGUGGGGAAUAUUGCACAAUGGGCGCAAGCCUGAUGCAGCCAUGCCGCGUGUAUGAAGAAGGCCUUCGGGUUGUAAAGUACUUUCAGCGGGGAGGAAGGCGAUGUGGUUAAUAACCGCGUCGAUUGACGUUACCCGCAGAAGAAGCACCGGCUAACUCCGUGCCAGCAGCCGCCGUAA
RNAcentral lists this ribosomal RNA (504 nucleotides) under uncultured bacterium. RNAcentral describes it as "partial 16S ribosomal RNA". It matches the Rfam family "Bacterial small subunit ribosomal RNA", at positions 29 to 523 of the family's 1533-position model. The record is from RNAcentral.